UGGGGAAUAUUGGACACUGGGCGAAAGCCUGAUCCAGCCAUGCCGCGUGUGUGAAGAAGGUCUUCGGAUAGUAAAGCACUUUAAGUUGGGAGGAAGGGCAGUAAGCGAAUACCUUGCUGUUUUGACGUUACCGACAGAAUAAGCACCGGCUAACUCUGUGCCAGCAGCCGCGGUAAUACAGAGGGUGCAAGCGUUAAUCGGAAUUACUGGGCGUAAAGCGCGCGUAGGUGGUUCGUUAAGUUGAAUGUGAAAGCCCCGGGCUCAACCUGGGAACUGCAUCCAAAACUGGCGAGCUAGAGUAGGGCAGAGGGUGGUGGAAUUUCCUGUGUAGCGGUGAAAUGCGUAGAUAUAGGAAGGAACACCAGUGGCGAAGGCGACCACCUGGGCUCAUACUGACACUGAGGUGCGAAAGCGUGGGGAGCAAACAGG
RNAcentral lists this ribosomal RNA (429 nucleotides) under Pseudomonadota bacterium. RNAcentral describes it as "Proteobacteria bacterium partial 16S ribosomal RNA". It matches the Rfam family "Bacterial small subunit ribosomal RNA", at positions 355 to 776 of the family's 1533-position model. The record is from RNAcentral. Lineage: Bacteria; Pseudomonadati; Pseudomonadota.